Carassius gibelio (silver crucian carp) is the source of this 2195-nucleotide long non-coding RNA. RefSeq lists it as uncharacterized. The transcript has 2 exons. NCBI's taxonomy places the organism in Eukaryota, Metazoa, Chordata, Actinopteri, Cypriniformes, Cyprinidae. The record is from RefSeq and is a predicted model, not a curated record.
CGAGUGCCUUAGCUAAGUGCGCCACAUUAGUUGACACACUGUUUGCAUGGCACAGAAGAGAGGUUAAGGUGUGAGAAUUAACUCUCAAAAGCCCGAAGCAGCAUUUUAGCCAGAUUAGCAUGCUACGCUAAAAAAUGCUAACGUUGCUCAAAGUUAACCAGAUAGCUCAGGAGACCCAUUAGAGUCAAUAGAAACGUGUUAGCAUUUUAGCUAAUUAGCAUGCUAAGCUAACUAGCAUAAAUUAACAAGCACAGGCACGGUCAAGUUCAGAGCUGUACAUAUCGGGAACGGGAGUGAAUAUCAAAAAUCUGUUCAGUCAUUUCUGUCAGGCCCGGUCUGAACUUCAUCUGAUAACAUUUUGGACAAAAUUGAACAAGAUUUCAGGGAGGAGUAGCGAAAAAACUGUAUUUCAUUCCAUUCAAUAUGGCGGACAGACGCCAUAUUGGAAAAUGAAAAUUGAGACAUCAUCAGAUUCGGCAUAACCAAAGGAAUAAAAUGACAUAAAAAUAACAAAAAUCGAUCAACAUUUACAGUAGUUAUAAGGGGUUUUGCAAGAAUCGUUAUAUCUCUUGAACACUAGGUGGCGCUGUCUUCUAACUUCCGGGGUACCUCAGGCACAUGUUGUUGAUGAUGCCUAUCGAUUUUUGUGAAGAUAUGUACAAUAGAUCAAAAGAUAUAGCAAUUUAUGACAAAAUUCAAAAUGGCGGACGGGUGGUCCUGGUGGUCUCGACAAAAUUGACAUCCACAGAUCCGGAAUGAUCUAAAGAAUCCAUAGACAUCAAGAAAAUAAUUUUCUGAUGAAUUGUUCAGAAGUUAUAAGCAAAAAAGUGCAUUUUUGGUAUCUCAACACCCAUAGGUGGCGCUGUUCCCAAAUUUGGCGUGGACCCCCAGAUCAUGGUGUAGAUGAAGUGUACCAAGUUUGGUAUCGAUUGAUCAAAGUUUGGCCGAGAUACAGCAUCUCAACCGAUUUUAGGUCAGUCUCAGUAAGUUCACAGCAUCAUAACUUUUUUUUUCACUAGUGUUCAAAAAAUUCUGUUCAGUCAUUUCUGUGCGGCUCAGUCCAAAGAACAUCUGAGCCAAAUUUCAGAAGAAUUGGACCAAUUUUGAAGGAGGAGUAGUGUUUAGACUGAAUACUGUACUUUUCAAAAUGGCCGCUACUGUAAUGGGCGGAGUCUUAAUGUAAAGUAUGGAAUGGAAUCUCCAUGAAGAGACAAAAUAGAUGUACUAAGUUUUAUUUUCAUAGAAUUAGUGGUUCAAGAGUUAUUAACGUUUGAAUGUUGAAUUUUUGAACUGGUGGUGGCGCUAUAGAGUUGGUCAUAGAGACCCCAAAGUUGGUCAGAUCACUAAUAAUGGUCAUCUCUACAAGUGUGCCAAAUUUUAUCAUUUUCCCACGUUCCCUUCAUAGGGCUGCCAUAGACCCCCAUUGGCCAAGAAGAAGAAGAAUAAUAAUAAAUAUAGCUGCAAGCAGCGAUACCGGGGCCAAGCCCUGAAGGGCUGUAGCCAGAGCAACGAGCGGGACGAAGCAAAACGGCCAAAACGGAACUUCCAUCGGACCGACGUUACCCACCCCGGAUUCGAUCCCACGACCUCUCGGGUUUGGGACCAGUGCCUUAGCUAAGUGCACCACAUUGGUUGACACACAGUUUGCAUGGCACAGAAGAGAGGUUAAGGUGUGAGAAUGUUCACAAAAGCAUCAGACCACGUGCUAACCAAUUAAUCAAGCUGCACCUGGUCUUAAAUUGACAGUAUAUCAGGGAGAGAGCAUGUGCUGCUCAGUUUAUCUGUUUUUCUACAGAAGGUACGUUUGUUUUAAAAGUGUCUGUGUGUUAAUUAUUUCUUCUUAGUUUGGAUUGUGGAUUUUUUGCUGAAGUGUUUAAUAUGUUCAUUUUGUUUGUUUUUUGUAAUGACCAAGUGUUCAAAGUGCCAACUCAUUUUAAGUGUUUUCUCUUUACUUGAAUUAGUUUUCUUAUUAUGGUAGUCUAUUGUUUGAUCUGUAAUACAAUUCUGGAUUUUAUUGGAAGGUAGGAUUUUGUGUGUUUUUGGAAAAGCAACGCACAAGAGUUUAGUAAUUCUGAUUCAGAUUGUUUGCAAAUUAUUUAAACAAAGUAAUUUAGUCUUCGUAGUCUACACUAUAUUUUCUUGAAAAUGGUCUCAUUAAUUGAUAGUUUAAUAAAGAGUUUAUUUAACUGUGAAAA